CCUCGCCAGACCCAAGGCUGUAAACCUUGUGUAUUCCCAGUGUAAUGUAAACAUCUUCACCCACAGUGUGAUAGGAAGAUUCCACCAGGUCCCGGGAGAGAGGUUAAAAGGCAGAGACAACCUCAGAACGGGGUGAUCUUUGCAUUAUACCUCCGUGGUGUAUGUUCUGAUCUCCCCAGCUGGCUUUUUGAUUUCUUUCCUCAUUACUUUAUUGCAAAAUUUCCACCACAGAGUAACAGAAAAAAAAGGAGAUACAGUAACAACUCUGGAGAAGAAUUGUUUACACUCUGCCACACACACGCACACAUACACCACACACACAUAUCAUGUCAAGAGCAAAUGCUCCCACUGUUUCUGCUCUCUAUUCUAAUGCAGAACUGAGCGCGAUGAGGGUAAAUCCGGAUCUGGACUCCUUUCCCACCAUCAGCAGAAGAACCGAAGGAGAAGAAGCGCCGACCAACAACCAGAACAGGAUCUGGACUCCUUUCCCACCAUCAGCAGAAGAACCGAAGGAGAAGAAGCGCCGACCAACAACCAGAACAGGGUGGAAGCUCUGAUACCACAGCAGCUGGAGGACACAGACCACAGCAUGGAGGCCUCAGUGAUUUCCACAACGUCUGCAGCCAUCACGUUCUGGGCUCAUCAGAUGAACCAGCUACUACAAGCGUGUGUGUCUGACACAGACACCUGCUUAUGACAAUCAGCAAAGGAAAACAAGCACAGAGCAACAGCAGAGAAGACGUGCUCUGACACAGACACUGGUUGAAACAACAGGAGAAGCUUCAGACGUGAUCGGCCCAAUAGAGCUGCAUCCGAGAAUCCAGGAAAGGUCUGUCAUCGAGGAACAACUGUCCCAUUGAAAGGCUUCACCCACUGGCGCUCACAUCAGACUGAUGGUUGGGGAAGGAGGAAGGUGACGGUUCCUUUUCACGUGACACAGAAGACGUUACCGCAAACACACACACACAUUUAUACACGCAAUGAAGAAACACGCUUACAGCUGAUACACGCUCAAAUUCAUGUUCAUACUUAUCUGCUUAUUGCAAUGAAGAAUCCCAAAAAAAAAAUCCCAAAGAGUGAUUUUAAAAUGAUGACAAACAGCUAAAUGACAACUUCUGCAUGACUUUACAGUCUGAUGGGUUUAAACAAUUUUAAUUUGCAUCAAAUUCAGUAAUAAAAUCCUUCAUGUUUCUAAAAAUACUUGUGCA
Molecule: long non-coding RNA, 1208 nt
Filed under: Betta splendens (Siamese fighting fish)
Lineage: Eukaryota; Metazoa; Chordata; Actinopteri; Anabantiformes; Osphronemidae
Description: lncRNA (ENSBSLG00000005950.1)
Source: RNAcentral